Molecule: ribosomal RNA, 353 nt
Rfam family: 5.8S ribosomal RNA (bases 56-210)
UCCUUAAUACUGAAUAUACUGUGGGGACGAAAGUCUCUGCUUUUAACUAGAUAGCAACUUUCAGCAGUGGAUGUCUAGGCUCGCACAUCGAUGAAGAACGCUGCGAACUGCGAUACGUAAUGCGAAUUGCAGGAUUCAGUGAGUCAUCGAAAUUUUGAACGCAUAUUGCACUUCCGGGUUAGUCCUGGAAGUAUGCCUGUAUCAGUGUCCGUACAUUAAACUUGACUUUCUUCCUUCCGUGUAGUCGGUGGAGGAGAUGUCAGAUGUGAAGUGUCUUGCGAUUGGUCUUCGGACCGGCUGCGAGUCCUUUUAAAUGUACUAAACUGAACUUCUCUUUGCUCGAAAAGUGGUGG